Molecule: ribosomal RNA, 806 nt
Filed under: uncultured beta proteobacterium
Lineage: Bacteria; Pseudomonadati; Pseudomonadota; Betaproteobacteria
Description: bacterial SSU rRNA
Rfam family: Bacterial small subunit ribosomal RNA
Source: RNAcentral
UGACGCUGGCGGAAUGCUUUACACAUGCAAGUCGAACGGUAGAGGGGGCAACCCCUCGAGAGUGGCGAACGGGUGAGUAAUGUAUCGGAACGUGCCCAGUCGUGGGGGAUAACGUAGCGAAAGUUACGCUAAUACCGCAUACGAUCUACGGAUGAAAGCGGGGGAUCGCAAGACCUCGCGCGAUUGGAGCGGCCGAUAUCAGAUUAGGUAGUUGGUGGGGUAAAGGCUCACCAAGCCAACGAUCUGUAGCUGGUCUGAGAGGACGACCAGCCACACUGGAACUGAGACACGGUCCAGACUCNUACGGGAGGCAGCAGUGGGGAAUUUUGGACAAUGGACGCAAGUCUGAUCCAGCCAUUCCGCGUGCAGGAUGAAGGCCCUCGGGUUGUAAACUGCUUUUGUACGGAACGAAAAGGUUUCUAUUAAUACUAGGAGCUCAUGACGGUACCGUAAGAAUAAGCACCGGCUAACUACGUGCCAGCAGCCGCGGUAAUACGUAGGGUGCAAGCGUUAAUCGGAAUUACUGGGCGUAAAGCGUGCGCAGGCGGUUAUAUAAGACAGAUGUGAAAUCCCCGGGCUCAACCUGGGAACUGCAUUUGUGACUGUAUAGCUAGAGUACGGUAGAGGGGGAUGGAAUUCCGCGUGUAGCAGUGAAAUGCGUAGAUAUGCGGAGGAACACCGAUGGCGAAGGCAAUCCCCUGGACCUGUACUGACGCUCAUGCACGAAAGCGUGGGGAGCAAACAGGAUUAGAUACCCUGGUAGUCCACGCCCUAAACGAUGUCAACUGGUUGUUGGGUCUUCGCUG